AUGGUCCAGAUGGGUAUCAUUAGGCUGCUGAUGCCCUUUUGCGCCGCUCUGUAGUUCUUAUCCUACACUACCUAAAAACAGGAACUAUUUCACAGCCCACCAAGAGAAAAACUCUAAGGCUUGGUCCUAUGAAUGAAUAAUGAGGGCCAUCUAGUGUCAAAAAAGGUAAUUACAGGCUUUUUGUUUUUGAGAUAGGGUAUCACGUCUAUAGUCCAGGCUGGAAUGCAGUGGCAUUCAGGACUCACUGCACCUUCCACCUCCUGGGCUCAAGCGAUCCUCCUGCCUCGCCCCCACCACCCCCAAAGGUGGCUGAGGCAAGAGAAUGGUGUGAACCCGGGAGGCGGAGCUUGCAGUGAGCGGAGAUCACGCCACUGCACUCCAGCCUGGGUGACAGAGCUAGACUCUGUCUCAAAAAAAAAAAAAAAAAAAAAAGGUAUAAACCAUAUACUUCCCAAAAUGGCAAUUUAAGGAUUUAAAGAAAGUCAGAGGAUGAGAUCAUCAUUUUAUGUCACUCUUCAAACUGUUGUGCUAUUAUAAGUUGGAACUCUC
Molecule: long non-coding RNA, 549 nt
Filed under: Homo sapiens (human)
Lineage: Eukaryota; Metazoa; Chordata; Mammalia; Primates; Hominidae
Description: novel transcript, antisense to COIL
Source: RNAcentral